This 253-nucleotide ribosomal RNA is filed under the name uncultured bacterium. Its description in RNAcentral is "partial 16S ribosomal RNA". It matches the Rfam family "Bacterial small subunit ribosomal RNA", at positions 524 to 776 of the family's 1533-position model. The record is from RNAcentral.
UACGUAGGGGGCUAGCGUUGUCCGGAAUCAUUGGGCGUAAAGCGCGCGUAGGCGGCCCGGUAAGUCCGCUGUGAAAGUCAAAGGCUCAACCUUUGAAUGUCAGCGGAUACUGCCGGGCUAGAGUCCGGAAGAGGCGAGUGGAAUUCCUGGUGUAGCGGUGAAAUGCGCAGAUAUCAGGAGGAACACCGAUGGCGAAGGCAGCUCGCUGGGACGGUACUGACGCUGAGACGCGAAAGCGUGGGGAGCAAACAGG